AUUUUUCCCAGUUUCCCAGAAGAAUCUUGUCUUCUAAUUCCAAUUAAGCAUUCUGACACUGAAGGCUCUUAGUUCCAUUCUAUAGCUGCAUUCUUUUUUAUGUUCUCCCACAUUUCUGUCAUAUAAUGGACAUGCCCCACAUCUAAGGAGGAUUUCUGUAGGCAACUUUUGCUGCAGAUGAGAGAGUUGAAGCUUAAAAGGCCAAAUGACUUUCCCAGACACACACCAUCAGUCAGUGAGGGAUGCGAGACUUGGAUCCAGAUGUUACCUGCAAUUCUGGAGUCCAUGUAAAACUUUCAAAUAUUCAACUUUUGGUCUUUAGUCUUUGCUUCUUUCCCUCGUGUCACUAGAUAACCAUUUCUCUACAUUUUUAAAAUUCUGCCAUUCCUGUUAACAUAUUUAUAUGCCCUAGUAUUAUCUGCAACAAUGUACAAACCUAAAUCAUUUGAUAUAUACACUGCUAAAGAAGGCAAGAAAAAU
This 480-nucleotide long non-coding RNA is filed under the name Equus caballus (horse). RNAcentral's name for it is "lncRNA (ENSECAG00000049189.1)". Lineage: Eukaryota; Metazoa; Chordata; Mammalia; Perissodactyla; Equidae. The record is from RNAcentral.